This 511-nucleotide ribosomal RNA is filed under the name uncultured archaeon. Its description in RNAcentral is "bacterial SSU rRNA". It matches the Rfam family "Archaeal small subunit ribosomal RNA", at positions 345 to 859 of the family's 1478-position model. The record is from RNAcentral.
AACCUUAGCAAUGUGCGAAAGCACGACUGGGUUAGUCCGAGUGAUUCCUGCUAAAGGAAUCUUUUGCCGGUCCUAAGAGCACCGGUGAAUAAGGGGUGGGCAAGUCUGGUGUCAGCCGCCGCGGUAAUACCAGCACCUCGAGUGAUCAGGACGUUUAUUGGGCCUAAAGCAUCCGUAGCUGGCUUUGCAAGUCUCCGGUUAAAUCAACCUGCUUAACAGAUUGGCCGCUGGAGAUACUACAAAGCUAGGGAGUGGGAUAGGCAGACGGUAUUCGGGGGUAGGGGUAAAAUCCUCUGAUCCUCUGAGGACCACCAGUGGCGAAGGCGGUCUGCCAGAACACGUUCGACAGUGAGGGAUGAAAGCUGGGGGAGCAAACCGGAUUAGAUACCCGGGUAGUCCCAGCUGUAAACGAUGCAGACUCGGUGAAGCGUUGGCUUCAUGCCAACGCUGUGCCGCAGGGAAGCCGUUAAGUCUGCCGCCUGGGAAGUACGGUCGCAAGAUUGAAACUUAA